This is a non-coding RNA of Picea glauca (white spruce), 160 nucleotides long. The record is from Rfam. Lineage: Eukaryota; Viridiplantae; Streptophyta; Pinopsida; Pinales; Pinaceae.
AUACUUACCUGGGCGGGGUCGAUCGAUGAUCAGGAAGGUCGAUGGCCUAGGAAUGCCACCUCCAUUGCACUUGGGAGGGGGGUCUACCUAGCAUCUCCCACUGAGGAGAGUGCACGUCAUAAUUUGUGGCAGUGGAGGCCUGCGUUCGCGCGGCCUCCAC